CCUAGACUUUUUUCUGAACAUCUUGCUGUGUCUCCUUGUGAGUGGUAGGCCAGGCUCCCUUGAGCCUUCCAGGUGCAGUCCUAGUAGCUUUCACCUCCCUCUAGAGCUGGCAAACCCCCUUUAUCCUGCCCUAUCGCAUGCGUGACCUUCCACAUGGCGCCAGACCUCUAGCGUGUACUGUGUCGUCUCUAGGGCUCUGUGUACCAGAAGACCAAUGCCGUGUCUGAGAUCAAGAGAGUUGGCAAGGAUAACUUCUGGGCCAAAGCUGAGAAGGAGGAGGAGAACCGCCGCCUGGAGGAGAAGCGGCGGGCUGAAGAGGAGAAGCAGCGGCUGGAGGAGGAGC
RNAcentral lists this long non-coding RNA (343 nucleotides) under Rattus norvegicus (Norway rat). RNAcentral's name for it is "long non-coding RNA NONRATT009551". The record is from RNAcentral. Lineage: Eukaryota; Metazoa; Chordata; Mammalia; Rodentia; Muridae.